This 101-nucleotide small RNA is filed under the name Salix viminalis (osier). Lineage: Eukaryota; Viridiplantae; Streptophyta; Magnoliopsida; Malpighiales; Salicaceae. The record is from RNAcentral.
UCAGAUUGAUCAACAGACAGACAGACAGAUAGAUAGAUGGAUAGAUACCAGAACUUGAACAUAGCUUCUUAGAGAGAGAGAGAUCUGGAUCGUCUGAUUGA